Molecule: ribosomal RNA, 498 nt
Filed under: Triticum aestivum (bread wheat)
Lineage: Eukaryota; Viridiplantae; Streptophyta; Magnoliopsida; Poales; Poaceae
Description: partial small subunit ribosomal RNA
Source: RNAcentral
AUGCCUCCUUCGGCGUCGGGCCUGGCUUCCCUCCUGCAGUCGCAGUUCCGGCCUAUGCACGACUUCCUCUUCUCCGAUUCAUGCUCUAACGGCUUGGGAUUGCUCGGAAUUUGGCAGGGCAUAAUCCAUGCAUCCUAUGAUGGCAGCAUCGACACCCGUGUGUGUCGUUUCCUUCUUGAAGGCGCUGUCAUGGCCGUUAUUUGUGUCCCUCUUCGAGCAUCAGCGGAAACCCUAGGCCCGGUUCCCGGAUCGGAUGACGACGGCGUCUGGGCGUUGCUCUCCUCUAUGAAGGUGUUGUCUUGUUUUGUACGCGGCGUCCUUGAUGUUGGAUUUGGAGAUGUUAGUCGUUUAGCUGUUGGUUGGGCUGCUCUUCGGUUGGCGAGUUUAGCUGCCAUUUUCUUUGUUUGGGUCAAGCAUCUCACAUCUCUCUUCUUCAGGCACCAUGCUCACAUCUCUUGCGUCCGUCAUAUGUUGUAUCACCUCAUGUACUCAAUCUAA